RNAcentral lists this transfer RNA (71 nucleotides) under Loxodonta africana (African savanna elephant). It matches the Rfam family "tRNA". Rfam says of the family: Transfer RNA (tRNA) molecules are approximately 80 nucleotides in length. Their secondary structure includes four short double-helical elements and three loops (D, anti-codon, and T loops). Further hydrogen bonds mediate the characteristic L-shaped molecular structure. tRNAs have two regions of fundamental functional importance: the anti-codon, which is responsible for specific mRNA codon recognition, and the 3' end, to which the tRNAs corresponding amino acid is attached (by aminoacyl-tRNA synthetases). tRNAs cope with the degeneracy of the genetic code in two manners: having more than one tRNA (with a specific anti-codon) for a particular amino acid; and 'wobble' base-pairing, i.e. permitting non-standard base-pairing at the 3rd anti-codon position. Lineage: Eukaryota; Metazoa; Chordata; Mammalia; Proboscidea; Elephantidae. The record is from Rfam by way of RNAcentral.
GCAGUGGUGGUUUGGUGGUACAAUUCUCGCCUUCCACGUGGUAGACCCAGGUUUGACUCCUGGCCAAUGCA